CAGUAGCCGCGGGAAAACGUAGGGGGCGAGCGUUGUCCGAAGUUACUGGGCGUAAAGCGCGCGUAGGCGGCUUCUUAAGUCUGAGGUGUAAGGUUCAACGCUUAACGUGAACAGUGCCUUGGAUACUGGGGAGCUUGAGUAUGGGAGAGGGCAGUGGAAUGGCUGGUGUAGCGGUGAAAUGCGUAGAUAUCAGUCGGAACACCCAUGGCGAAGGCAGCUGCCUGGCCUAAUACCGACGCUGAGGUGCGAAAGCGUGGGGAGCGAACGGGAUUAGAUACCCCCUAGUCCCUGUCUCUUAUAC
Molecule: ribosomal RNA, 301 nt
Filed under: uncultured bacterium
Lineage: Bacteria
Description: partial 16S ribosomal RNA
Rfam family: Bacterial small subunit ribosomal RNA
Source: RNAcentral